RNAcentral lists this ribosomal RNA (446 nucleotides) under uncultured bacterium. Its description in RNAcentral is "partial 16S ribosomal RNA". It matches the Rfam family "Bacterial small subunit ribosomal RNA", at positions 338 to 795 of the family's 1533-position model. The record is from RNAcentral.
CCUACGUGAGGCAGCAGUCGAGAAUCAUUCACAAUGGGGGAAACCCUGAUGGUGCGACGCCGCGUGGGGGAAUGAAGGUCUUCGGAUUGUAAACCCCUGUCAUGUGGGAGCAAAGUAAAAAGUUAGUACCAUAAGAGGAAGAGACGGCUAACUCUGUGCUAGCAGCCGCGGUAAUACAGAGGUCUCAAGCGUUGUUCGGAAUCACUGGGCGUAAAGCGUGUGUAGGCUGUUUCGUAAGUCGGGUGUGAAAGGCGCGGGCUCAACCCGCGAACGGCACAUGAUACUGCGAGACUAGAGUAAUGGAGGGGGAACCGGAAUUCUCGGUGUAGCAGUGAAAUGCGUAGAUAUCGGGAGGAACACUCGUGGCGAAGGCGGGUUCCUGGACAUUAACUGACGCUGAGGCACGAAGGCCAGGGGAGCGAAAGGGAUUAGAUACCCGGGUAGUC